GAUGAAGAACUUAGCGAAAUGCGAUAAGUAGUGUGAAUUGCAGAAUUCCGUGAAUCAUCGAAUCUUUGAACGCACAUUGCGCCUUCUGGUAUUCCGGAAGGCAUGCCUGUUCGAGAGUCAUUAACAACCGUUUCGAUCCCUUUCUUUCAGAAAUUACAAAGAGGAAAAGGGUUUGGUUAUGGUGGAGGAGGGAAAGGGAGCGUUUAGCCUGUAAAAAAAGAGGCUGUGUUCCGCCUCCCCCCCAAAAUUGUACAGGCGGUCGUGUGCGCCCACGCAUCGAGGUGUUGUAAAAGCUGCCACGGCACUUUUCACCUGUGCAGUGCGAGAUUGGCCAGCCGGUUUAAAAACCCCUCCAAACAAUCAAAGGUUGACCUCGGAUCAGGUAGGGAUACCCGCUGAUCUUAAGCAUAUCAAUAAGCGGAGGA
Molecule: unclassified non-coding RNA, 425 nt
Filed under: soil metagenome
Description: partial contains 5.8S ribosomal RNA, internal transcribed spacer 2, and large subunit ribosomal RNA
Rfam family: 5.8S ribosomal RNA (bases 1-120)
Source: RNAcentral